CACUUAGAUGUUCUGGGCAGCACGCGCGCUACAAUGGUCUUCGCAAACGGAUGCAUUCUCGAAGGAGAAUGCCAAUCUUGGAAUCUAUGCCUUGGUCGGGACAGUUGCUUGCAAUUUUUCGACUCGAACCAGGAAUUCCUUGUAAUCGUGAUUCAUCACAUCACGAUGAAUACGUCCCUGCCCUUUGUACACACCGCCCGUCGCUCCUACCGAUCGAAGAGUUAGGUGAAUUGUUUUGAUCGAUAAGAUUUGACUAUGGUCAACUCUCGUUGUGAAAUUCUGUGAAUCUGACUGUUUAGAGGAAGGAAAAGUCGUAACA
This 319-nucleotide ribosomal RNA is filed under the name uncultured eukaryote. RNAcentral's name for it is "partial 18S ribosomal RNA". It matches the Rfam family "Eukaryotic small subunit ribosomal RNA", at positions 1470 to 1796 of the family's 1831-position model. The record is from RNAcentral.